AAUCAACGCUGGCGGCGUGCCUCAGACAUGCAAGUCGAACGCGAAAAUCCCCUUCGGGGGAUGAGUAGAGUGGCGCACGGGUGAGUAACACGUAGGUAAUCUACCUUUGGAUGGGGAAUAACCACCGGAAACGGUGGCUAAUACCGCAUAAUGCAGCGGCACCUAAUGGUGACAGUUGUUAAAGCGGGGGAUCGAAAGACCUCGCGUCUGAAGAGGAGCCUGCGGCGGAUUAGCUAGUUGGUAAGGUAAUGGCUUACCAAGGCGACGAUCCGUAACCGGCCUGAGAGGGCGGUCGGUCACACUGACACUGACAUACGGGUCAGACUCCUACGGGAGGCAGCAGUCGGGAAUUUUGGGCAAUGGGCGAAAGCCUGACCCAGCAACGCCGCGUGAAGGGAUGAAAUCCCUCGGGAUGUAAACUUCGCAAGAACGGGAAGAAUAAGUAGGGACAAUACCCCCUAUGAUGACGGUACCGUUUGUAAGCUCCGGCUAACUCCGUGCCA
This 503-nucleotide ribosomal RNA is filed under the name uncultured bacterium. RNAcentral describes it as "bacterial SSU rRNA". It matches the Rfam family "Bacterial small subunit ribosomal RNA", at positions 32 to 510 of the family's 1533-position model. The record is from RNAcentral.